Molecule: ribosomal RNA, 112 nt
Filed under: uncultured bacterium
Lineage: Bacteria
Description: partial 16S ribosomal RNA
Rfam family: Bacterial small subunit ribosomal RNA
Source: RNAcentral
CCCGGGCCUUGUACACACCGCCCGUCACGCCACGAAAGUUUGUUGUACCAGAAAACGUUGGGCUAACCCGCAAGGGGGGCAGACGUCUACGGUAUGGCAGAUGAUUGGGGCG